Molecule: ribosomal RNA, 305 nt
Filed under: uncultured bacterium
Lineage: Bacteria
Description: bacterial SSU rRNA
Rfam family: Bacterial small subunit ribosomal RNA
Source: RNAcentral
UGACCUACGGGAGGCAGCAGUGGGGGAUAUUGCACAAUGGGGGGAACCCUGAUGUAGCGACGCCGCGUGGGUGAAGAAGCGCCUCGGCGCGUAAAGCCCUGUCAGCAGGGAAGAAAAUGACGGUACCUGAAGAAGAAGCCCCGGCUAACUACGUGCCAGCAGCCGCGGUAAUACGUAGGGGGCAAGCGUUAUCCGGAUUUACUGGGUGUAAAGGGGGCGCAGACGGCGAUGCAAGCCAGGAGUGAAAGCCCGGGGCCCAACCCCGGGACUGCUUUGGAAACUGUGGAGCUAGCGUGCUGGAGAGG